Molecule: ribosomal RNA, 496 nt
Filed under: uncultured bacterium
Lineage: Bacteria
Description: partial 16S ribosomal RNA
Rfam family: Bacterial small subunit ribosomal RNA
Source: RNAcentral
AUGCACGCUGGCGGCGUGCCUAAUACAUGCAAGUCGAGCGAACGGACGAGAAGCUUGCUUCUCUGAUGUUAGCGGCGGACGGGUGAGUAACACGUGGAUAACCUACCUAUAAGACUGGGAUAACUUCGGGAAACCGGAGCUAAUACCGGAUAAUAUUUUGAACCGCAUGGUUCAAAAGUGAAAGACGGUCUUGCUGUCACUUAUAGAUGGAUCCGCGCUGCAUUAGCUAGUUGGUAAGGUAACGGCUUACCAAGGCAACGAUGCAUAGCCGACCUGAGAGGGUGAUCGGCCACACUGGAACUGAGACACGGUCCAGACUCCUACGGGAGGCAGCAGUAGGGAAUCUUCCGCAAUGGGCGAAAGCCUGACGGAGCAACGCCGCGUGAGUGAUGAAGGUCCUCGGAUCGUAAAACUCUGUUAUUAGGGAAGAACAUAUGUGUAAGUAACUGUGCACAUCUUGACGGUACCUAAUCAGAAAGCCACGGCUAACUACGUG